This 468-nucleotide ribosomal RNA is filed under the name uncultured bacterium. RNAcentral describes it as "partial 16S ribosomal RNA". It matches the Rfam family "Bacterial small subunit ribosomal RNA", at positions 28 to 507 of the family's 1533-position model. The record is from RNAcentral.
GACGAACGCUGGCGGCGUGCCUAACACAUGCAAGUCGAACGGAAAGGCCCUGCUCUUGUGGGGUGCUCGAGUGGCGAACGGGUGAGUAACACGUGAGUAACCUGCCCUUGACUUUGGGAUAACUUCAGGAAACUGGGGCUAAUACCGGAUAGGAGCUCCUGCUGCACGGUGGGGGUUGGAAAGUUUCGGUGGUUGGGGAUGGACUCGCGGCUUAUCAGCUUGUUGGUGGGGUAGUGGCUUACCAAGGCUUCGACGGAUAGCCGGCCUGAGAGGGUGACCGGGCACAUUAGGACUGAGGUACGGCCCAGACUCCUACGGGAGGCAGCAGUGGAGAGUAUUGCACAGUGGGCGGAAGCCUGAUGCAGCAGCGCCGCGUGCGGGAUGACGGCCUUCGAGUUGUGAACCGCUUUCGCCUGUGACGAAGCGUGAGUGACGGUAAUGGGUAAAGAAGCACCGGCUAACUACGUG